GCCAGGGUAGCUCAGUUGGUUAGAGCGAAGGACUUAUAAGCUUUAGGUCGUUGGUUCGAUUCCGACCCCUGGCA
RNAcentral lists this transfer RNA (74 nucleotides) under Candidatus Doudnabacteria bacterium CG10_big_fil_rev_8_21_14_0_10_41_10. RNAcentral describes it as "tRNA-Ile". It matches the Rfam family "tRNA". From Rfam's summary of the family: Transfer RNA (tRNA) molecules are approximately 80 nucleotides in length. Their secondary structure includes four short double-helical elements and three loops (D, anti-codon, and T loops). The record is from RNAcentral. Lineage: Bacteria; Candidatus Doudnaibacteriota.